RNAcentral lists this ribosomal RNA (502 nucleotides) under uncultured bacterium. Its description in RNAcentral is "partial 16S ribosomal RNA". It matches the Rfam family "Bacterial small subunit ribosomal RNA", at positions 30 to 523 of the family's 1533-position model. The record is from RNAcentral.
AUUGAACGCUGGCGGCAGGCUUAACACAUGCAAGUCGAGCGGGGUGAUGGUGCUUGCACUAUCACUUAGCGGCGGACGGGUGAGUAAUGCUUAGGAAUCUGCCUAUUAGUGGGGGACAACAUCUCGAAAGGGAUGCUAAUACCGCAUACGUCCUACGGGAGAAAGCAGGGGAUCACUUGUGACCUUGCGCUAAUAGAUGAGCCUAAGUCGGAUUAGCUAGUUGAUGGGGUAAAGGCCUACCAAGGCGACGAUCUGUAGCGGGUCUGAGAGGAUGAUCCGCCACACUGGGACUGAGACACGGCCAGACUCCUACGGGAGGCAGCAGUGGGGAAUAUUGGACAAUGGGGGGAACCCUGAUCCAGCCAUGCCGCGUGUGUGAAGAAGGCCUUAUGGUUGUAAAGCACUUUAAGCGAGGAGGAGGCUCUUUUGGUUAACACCCAAGAUGAGUGGACGUUACUCGCAGAAUAAGCACCGGCUAACUCUGUGCCAGCAGCCGCCGUAA